CAAACGUGGCGGAUGCUUACACAUGCAGUCGAACGAGAUCUUCGGAUCUAGUGGCGCACGGGUGAGUAACGCGUGGAAACCUACCAUUCUGUACGGAAUAACGAUUGGAAACGAUCGCUAAUACCGUAUACGCCCUGUGGGGGAAAGGUCCGCCGCAGAAUGAGGGGUCCGCGUCCGAUUAGCUAGUUGGUAAGGUAAUGGCUUACCAAGGCGACGAUCGGUAGCUGGUCUGAGAGGAUGAUCAGCCACACUGGGACUGAGACACGGCCCAGACUCCUACGGGAGGCAGCAGUGGGGAAUAUUGGACAAUGGGGGCAACCCUGAUCCAGCAAUGCCGCGUGUGUGAUGAAGGCCUUAGGGUUGUAAAACACUUUCAAUGGUGAAGAUGAUGACGGUAACCAUAGAAGAAGCCCCGGCUAACUUCGUGCCAGCAGCCGCGGUAAUACGAAAGGGGGCGAGCGUUGUUCGGAAUUACUGGGCGUAAAGGGCGCGCAGGCGGCCAAUCCAGUCAGGUGUGAAAGCCCCGAGCUCAACUUGGGAACUGCACUUGAUACUGAUUUGGCUAGAACACGGAAGAGGGCAGUGGAAUUCCAGUGUAGACGUGAAAAUCGAAGAUUUUGGGGAAGAACACCCGUGGGCAAAGGGGUGCUGUGCCGAUUUGAGGCCUAAGGGCCAAGGUGGUUACCAACGGAUAGAUACCGGUAUUCAGCCGAAACA
This 717-nucleotide ribosomal RNA is filed under the name uncultured Alphaproteobacteria bacterium. RNAcentral describes it as "bacterial SSU rRNA". It matches the Rfam family "Bacterial small subunit ribosomal RNA", at positions 30 to 808 of the family's 1533-position model. Lineage: Bacteria; Pseudomonadati; Pseudomonadota; Alphaproteobacteria. The record is from RNAcentral.